This 587-nucleotide ribosomal RNA is filed under the name uncultured bacterium. Its description in RNAcentral is "bacterial SSU rRNA". It matches the Rfam family "Bacterial small subunit ribosomal RNA", at positions 338 to 944 of the family's 1533-position model. The record is from RNAcentral.
CCUACGGGAGGCAGCAGUGGGGAAUCUUGCGCAAUGGGCGAAAGCCUGACGCAGCAACGCCGCGUGCGGGAAGAAGGCUUUCGGGCUGUAAACCGCUUUCAGCAGGAACGAAAAUGACGGUACCUGCAGAAGAAGGAGCGGCCAACUAUGUGCCAGCAGCCGCGGUGAUACAUAGGCUUCAAGCGUUGUCCGGAUUUAUUGGGCGUAAAGAGUUCGUAGGCGGUCGAGUAAGUCGGGUGUGAAAAUUCUGGGCUCAACCCAGAGACGCCACCCGAUACUGCUUGACUUGAGUUCGAUAGGGGAGUGGGGAAUUCCUAGUGUAGCGGUGAAAUGCGCAGAUAUUAGGAGGAACACCGGUGGCGAAGGCGCCACUCUGGAUCGAUACUGACGCUGAGGAACGAAAGCAUGGGUAGCAAACAGGAUUAGAUACCCUGGUAGUCCAUGCCGUAAACGGUGGGCACUAGGUGUGGGUUUCUAUUAACGAAAUCCGCGCCGUCGCUAACGCAUUAAGUGCCCCGCUGGGGAGUCGGUCGCAAGCUAAAACUCAAAGGAUUGACGGNUGAGAGNGCGAGCGACACGAGGAGAGG